AGGACGAACGCUGGCGGCGUGCCUAACACAUGCAAGUCGAGCGAGGAGAUCCCUUCGGGGAUGAACCUAGCGGCGGACGGGUGAGUAACACGUGGGCAACCUGCCUUAUAGAGGGGAAUAGCCUUCCGAAAGGAAGAUUAAUACCGCAUAACAUUACAUUUUCGCAUGAAGAAGUAAUUAAAGGAGUAAUCCGCUAUAAGAUGGGCCCGCGGCGCAUUAGCUAGUUGGUGAGGUAACGGCUCACCAAGGCGACGAUGCGUAGCCGACCUGAGAGGGUGAUCGGCCACAUUGGGACUGAGACACGGCCCAGACUCCUACGGGAGGCAGCAGUGGGGAAUAUUGCACAAUGGGGGAAACCCUGAUGCAGCAACGCCGCGUGAGUGAUGAAGGUCUUCGGAUCGUAAAGCUCUGUCUUCAGGGACGAUAAUGACGGUACCUGAGGAGGAAGCCACGGCUAACUACGUGCCAGCAGCUGC
This 476-nucleotide ribosomal RNA is filed under the name uncultured bacterium. Its description in RNAcentral is "bacterial SSU rRNA". It matches the Rfam family "Bacterial small subunit ribosomal RNA", at positions 26 to 518 of the family's 1533-position model. The record is from RNAcentral.